AUUCGGUUAAUGAGUCCCAAAUAGGACGAAACGCACAUCCUGGAU
Molecule: non-coding RNA, 45 nt
Filed under: Schistosoma mansoni
Lineage: Eukaryota; Metazoa; Platyhelminthes; Trematoda; Strigeidida; Schistosomatidae
Source: RNAcentral